AUGGCUAAACGGGAGAAAACCUUGGCCGUACGCCCCGUACCUGCACCGGUACCCGUACCCGAGGCUCUCCCGACGCCGUCGGCGACGCCGGUGUCGGCAACGGCGCCGACGUCCGCGAGGUCGGUCAGGUGGGGCGACCUCGAGGACGCGGCCGGCGGGCUGGAGCGGCCGCUGCUGCGGCAGCGCGGUUCCAACACCACGUCGCAGAUGGCCGUCGUCGGCACCAACGUCUGCCCUAUCGAGAGCCUCGACUACGAGAUCGUGGAGAACGACGUGUACAAGCAAGACUGGAGGUCGAGGGGGAGGAUCCAGAUCUUCCAGUACCAGGUCCUCAAAUGGCUCAUGGCGCUCCUCGUGGGAUCCUUCGUUGGCCUCGUCGGAUUCUUCAACAACAUCGCCGUCGAGAACAUCGCCGGCUACAAGCUGCUCCUGACCAGCAACCUCAUGCGGCAAAACAGGAACCUGGGAGCGUUCCUGCUAUACAUGGCCUGCAAUGCGGUUCUCGCGGGAUCCGCAGCUGCGAUUUGCGCCUACUUAGCUCCCGCGGCAGCCGGCUCCGGCAUACCGGAGGUGAAGGCCUAUCUGAACGGUGUCGACGCCCACUCCAUCCUAGCGCCCAGCACCCUCUUCGUGAAGAUUAUUGGCUCCAUAUUGGGGGUGUCUGCCGGUUUUAUGCUGGGCAAAGAAGGGCCUAUGGUGCACACUGGUGCCUGCGUUGCCGCCAUGCUCGCCCAAGGGGGGUCGCGCAAGUAUGGCCUCACGUGGAACUGGAUCAGGUACUUCAAGAACGACCUCGACCGUAGGGAUCUCAUCACCUGCGGUGCUGCGGCCGGCGUCACUGCAGCAUUCCGCGCCCCCGUAGGCGGCGUCCUCUUUGCGCUCGAGGAAGCAACGACUUGGUGGCGGAGUGCGCUUCUGUGGAGGACAUUCUCCACAACGGCAAUGUCGGCGAUAGUGCUGCGGUCGUUGAUAGAGUACUGCCGCAGCGGCAACUGCGGCCUGUUUGGCAAAGGGGGUCUGAUCAUGUUCGACGUCAGCUCGCGGGUGACGACUUACACUGCCACUGACAUCGCCGCGGUCAUACUGCUCGGCAUCCUCGGCGGGCUGCUCGGAGCUCUCUUCAACCACUUUGUCGACCAGAUCCUCCGCAGAUACGGCGUCAUCAACGAGAAGGGUGCGCCGUACAAGAUCCUCAUGACGGUGUUCAUCUCACUUGUCACCUCGUGCUGCUCCUUCGGCCUGUCGUCGCUGUCUCCCUGCGUCCCGUGCCCGCCCGAGCUCGCCCCCGGCAAGUGCCCGACCAUCGGCCGGAACGGCAACUACAAGAAGUUCUGGUGUCCGGCGGGGCACUACAACGCGCUGGCCUCUCUCUUCUUCAACACCAACGACGAUGCCAUCCGCAACCUCUUCAGCGGCGGCACGGACAGCGAGUUCGGGGUGUACACUCUGCUCACGUUCUUCAUCGGCGUGUACACCCUUGGCCUGAUCACCUACGGCGUGGCCGUGCCGUCGGGCCUCUUCAUCCCCGUCAUCCUCUCGGGUGCCUCCUUCGGCCGCCUCGUGGGCAAGAUCUUCGGCUCGGGCCUCGACACGGGCCUCUUUGCGAUCGUCGGCGCGGCCUCCUUCCUCGGCGGCACCAUGCGGAUGACGGUGUCGGUGUGCGUGAUCCUGCUGGAGCUCACCAACGAUCUCCUGCUGCUGCCGCUCAUCAUGCUGGUCCUGCUCGUCUCCAAGACGGUGGCGGACUGCUUCAACAAGGGCGUCUACGAGCAGAUCGUGCGCAUGAAGGGGCUCCCCUUCCUGGAGGUGCACGCCGACGCGUGCAUGCGAAGCCUGGUGGCCAGCGACGUGCUGUCCGGGCCGGUGAUCACCUUCUCCAGCGUGGAGCGCGUCGGCUCCGUGGUGAACACGCUGCGGCGCACGGGCCACAACGGGUUCCCAGUGAUCGAGGAGGAGCCGUUCGCGCCGGCGCCGGAGCUGUGCGGCCUGGUGCUGCGCUCCCACCUGAUCGUGCUGCUCAACGGCAGGACCUUCACGAGGGCCCCCGUCAAGACCGGCGCCGCCGAGGUGUUCCGCAAGCUCAAGCCCUUCGGCUUCGCCAAGGUGGGGUCGUCGGGGAAGGCGAUGGAGGUGGACGAGCUGAGGCUCACCGAGGAGGAGAUGGACAUGUACGUGGACCUCCACCCGAUCACCAACCGGUCGCCCUACACCGUCCUGGAGAACAUGUCGCUGGCCAAGGCCGCCGUGCUCUUCCGCGACCUCGGCCUCCGGCACAUGUGCGUCGUGCCCAGGACCCCCGGGAGACCGCCGGUGCUGGGGAUCCUGACGCGCCACGACUUCAUGCCGGAGUACAUCCGCGGGCUGUUCGAGAACGUCCUUCGCGAGUAG
RNAcentral lists this ribosomal RNA (2388 nucleotides) under Triticum aestivum (bread wheat). RNAcentral's name for it is "partial small subunit ribosomal RNA". The record is from RNAcentral. Lineage: Eukaryota; Viridiplantae; Streptophyta; Magnoliopsida; Poales; Poaceae.